CUGACCCGCCUAAAUUGAAUUCAUAUCUCCUUCGUCUGGUCGAGAAGGGAGGGGAACUGGACUCUGCCUCUUCUAUUACAUUUACAUUACAUUACGGAGAAGUCCAUUCUCGUCAUGAUCGAUCCACGUCCUAGCGUAGUGCCCGGCUUGCUUCUUACAUUACAUUACGGAGAAGUCCAUUCUGGUCAUGAUCGAUCCACGUCCUAGUGUAGUGCCCGGCUUGCUUAGCAACCAAAGCUAGCUUACUAAGGUAGUUUCGUUUUAAAUUUUGAAAAAAGAAGGCAAAGGCAUUUUUCCUUGAUUGCACGAGCUAGCCAGCAAGC
RNAcentral lists this long non-coding RNA (323 nucleotides) under Nicotiana benthamiana. RNAcentral describes it as "long non-coding RNA (NBEN_LNC007320)". The record is from RNAcentral. Lineage: Eukaryota; Viridiplantae; Streptophyta; Magnoliopsida; Solanales; Solanaceae.